This 1825-nucleotide ribosomal RNA is filed under the name Spongiaxius brucei. RNAcentral's name for it is "SSU rRNA". It matches the Rfam family "Eukaryotic small subunit ribosomal RNA". The record is from RNAcentral. Lineage: Eukaryota; Metazoa; Arthropoda; Malacostraca; Decapoda; Axiidae.
AGUAUAUGCUUGUCUCAAAGAUUAAGCCAUGCAUGUGUAAGUACACACCCCAUUGAAGGCGAAACCGCGAAUGGCUCAUUAAAUCAGCUGUGGUUUAUUGGAUCUUAAUCCCAGUUACUUGGAUAACUGUGGUAAUUCUAGAGCUAAUACAUGCACCUAGUCUCUGACCGCGAGGGAAGAGCGCUUUUAUUAGUCUACAAAACCGGUCGGGCUUCGGUCCGUAACCUGCUUGUGGUGAAUCUGAAUAACUUUUUGCUGAGCGCAAGGUCUUUUGUACCGGCGCCGUGUCUUUCAAGUGUCUGCCUUAUCAGCUGUCGACUGUAGGUUAUGUGCCUACAAUGGCUAUAACGGGUAACGGGGAAUCGGGUUCGAUUCCGGAGAGGGAGCCUGAGAAACGGCUACCACAUCUAAGGAAGGCAGCAGGCGCGCAAAUUACCCACUCCCGGCUCGGGGAGGUAGUGACGAAAAAUAACGGUGCGAGACUCAUCCGAGGCCUCGCAAUCGGAAUGAGUACACUUUAAAUCCUUUAACGAGGAUCGAUUGGAGGGCAAGUCUGGUGCCAGCAGCCGCGGUAAUUCCAGCUCCAAUAGCAUAUAUUAAAGUUGUUGCRGUUAAAAAGCUCGUAGUUGACCUUCAGUUCUGGACUGACGGCGCACCGCCCGGUGUUCAGCCGUCACGCUCCGAACGGAUGAUAUACCCUGCCGGCCGUCACGGGGUGCUCUUCACCGAGUGUCCCUUGUGGCCGGCGUGUUUACUUUGAAAAAAUUAGAGUGCUCAAAGCAGGCUACGUGAAUGGCCUGAAUGGUGAUGCAUGGAAUAAUGGAAUAGGACCUCGGUUCUAUUUUAUUGGUUUUCUGAACCCGAGGUAAUGACUAAUAGAAACAGGCGGGGGCAUUCGUACUGCGACGCUAGAGGUGAAAUUCUUGGACCGUCGCAAGACGAACUACUGCGAAAGCAUUUGCCAAGGAUGUUUUCAUUAAUCAAGAACGAAAGUUAGAGGUUCGAAGGCGAUCAGAUACCGCCCUAGUUCUAACCAUAAACUAUGCUGACUAGCGAUCCGCCGGCGUUAUUCCCAUGACCCGGCGGGAAGCUUCCGGGAAACCAAAGUUUUUGAGUUCCGGGGGAAGUAUGGUUGCAAAGCUGAAACUUAAAGGAAUUGACGGAAGGGCACCACCAGGAGUGGAGCCUGCGGCUUAAUUUGACUCAACACGGGAAACCUCACCAGGCCCGGACACCAGAAGGAUUGACAGAUUGAGAGCUCUUUCUUGAUUUGGUGGGUGGUGGUGCAUGGCCGUUCUUAGUUGGUGGAGCGAUUUGUCUGGUUAAUUCCGAUAACGAACGAGACUCUAGCCUAUUAACUAGUCGACGGAUUACCAGUCCUUGGUGUCCAGUUCGCAACUUCUUCUUAGAGGGACUAGCGGCAUUCUAGCCGCACGAGAUUGAGCAAUAACAGGUCUGUGAUGCCCUUAGAUGUUCUGGGCCGCACGCGCGCUACACUGAAGGGGCCAGUGUGUUUUCCCCCUCCGAGAGGAGUGGGUAACCCUUGAACCCCGUUCUUGAUAGGGAUUGGGGCUUGUAACUGUUUCCCAUGAACGAGGAAUUCCCAGUAAGCGCAAGUCAUCAGCUUGCGUUGAUUACGUCCCUGCCCUUUGUACACACCGCCCGUCGCUACUACCGAUUGAAUGAUUUAGUGAGGCCUUCGGACUGGCGCUCUUGGAUGUUCCCCUCGUCUCCCUUGUGGCGUCGAGGUUCUCGCCUUGAGCUGACGGAAAGAUGUCCAAACUUGAUCAUUUAGAGGAAGUAAAAGUCGUAACAAGGUUUCCGU